This 400-nucleotide ribosomal RNA is filed under the name uncultured Pseudomonas sp. Its description in RNAcentral is "bacterial SSU rRNA". It matches the Rfam family "Bacterial small subunit ribosomal RNA", at positions 983 to 1382 of the family's 1533-position model. The record is from RNAcentral. Lineage: Bacteria; Pseudomonadati; Pseudomonadota; Gammaproteobacteria; Pseudomonadales; Pseudomonadaceae.
GACAUGCAGAGAACUUUCCAGAGAUGGAUUGGUGCCUUCGGGAACUCUGACACAGGUGCUGCAUGGCUGUCGUCAGCUCGUGUCGUGAGAUGUUGGGUUAAGUCCGUAACGAGCGCAACCCUUGUCCUUAGUUACCAGCACGUUAUGGUGGGCACUCUAAGGAGACUGCCGGUGACAAACCGGAGGAAGGGGGGGAGUGACGUCAAGUCAUCAUGGCCCUUACGGCCUGGGCUACACACGUGCUACAAUGGUCGGUACAAAGGGUUGCCAAGCCGCGAGGUGGAGCUAAUCCCAUAAAACCGAUCGUAGUCCGGAUCGCAGUCUGCAACUCGACUGCGUGAAGUCGGAAUCGCUAGUAAUCGUGAAUCAGAAUGUCACGGUGAAUACGUUCCCGGGCCUU